CGUGCUGAGGAGCGCUGCGACUAUCUCACCGAUAGCCAGGCUCAGCGCGAGCGAAGUUUCAACUGCGCUCGUUGACU
Molecule: non-coding RNA, 77 nt
Filed under: Thiobacillus denitrificans
Lineage: Bacteria; Pseudomonadati; Pseudomonadota; Betaproteobacteria; Nitrosomonadales; Thiobacillaceae
Description: SAH sequence
Rfam family: SAH (S-adenosyl-L-homocysteine) riboswitch aptamer
Source: Rfam by way of RNAcentral